Long non-coding RNA from Teleopsis dalmanni, 346 nucleotides. RefSeq lists it as uncharacterized. The transcript has 3 exons. Lineage: Eukaryota; Metazoa; Arthropoda; Insecta; Diptera; Diopsidae. The record is from RefSeq and is a predicted model, not a curated record.
AGAUGUGCCAGAACAAGAAAUUAUCGACCGACAAGACCGAGUAGAAGAUGUGCCAGAACAAGAAAUUAUCGACCGACAAGACCGAGUAGAAGAUGUGCCAGAACAAGAAAUUAUCGACCGACAAGACCGAGUAGAAGGUUAGUAAAAAUUUAUUUAAAAGUGUAGUGAAUAUGUGAAUAUUAAGUGAAUAUGUUACUCCUCCCAUCCCUUGAAAUUACAGUGUCCUCACUGUUUACAAUAUGUUUUUUUUAAUGUACGUAAAUAAAUUAUAAAUAUAAUUAUAAUGAAACUAAGAGUUAUAGUCAUAUAAGUUAUUGACAAGUUAAGUUUAAAAUUAGAAUUUACU